This 433-nucleotide ribosomal RNA is filed under the name uncultured bacterium. RNAcentral describes it as "partial 16S ribosomal RNA". The stretch from base 45 to 433 matches the Rfam family "Bacterial small subunit ribosomal RNA", at positions 39 to 507 of the family's 1533-position model. The record is from RNAcentral.
GGGGGGGGGGGGGGGGGGGGGGGGGGGGGGGGGGGGGGGGGGGGGGGGCGGGGGUAGGGGGGCACGGGGGCGUAGCGCGGGGGGACCUGCCCUUAGGUUCGGAAUAACUCCCCGAAAGGGGUGCUGAUACCGGAUAAUGUCUUCGGACCAAAGAUUUAUCGCCUUUGGAUGGGCCCGCGUUGGAUGAGCUAGUUGGUAGGGUAAAAGCCUACCAAGGCGACGAUCCAUAGCUGGUCUGAGAGGAUGAUCAGCCACACUGGGACUGAGACACGGCCCAGACUCCUACGGGAGGCAGCAGUGGGGAAUAUUGGACAAUGGGCGAAAGCCUGAUCCAGCAAUGCCGCGUGAGUGAUGAAGGCCUUAGGGUUGUAAAGCUCUUUUACCCGGGAUGAUAAUGACAGUACCGGGAGAAUAAGCUCCGGCUAACUCCGUG